GUGUUGGUAUUAUAUUCUUGUACCCACACUCUACAAUUGAUAAGCUAAAUCAACUCAGCUGGAAUUUCGAACAUUCUUUGAUUUCUCAGAGAGAUGUUGUAUUCUGGCUAACAAA
Molecule: small nucleolar RNA, 115 nt
Organism: Arabidopsis thaliana (thale cress)
Lineage: Eukaryota; Viridiplantae; Streptophyta; Magnoliopsida; Brassicales; Brassicaceae
Source: RefSeq